This 28-nucleotide non-coding RNA is filed under the name Mus musculus (house mouse). The record is from RNAcentral. Lineage: Eukaryota; Metazoa; Chordata; Mammalia; Rodentia; Muridae.
UACAUGAUAUAGAUAUUCCCGUGCUGCC